Paramisgurnus dabryanus is the source of this 516-nucleotide long non-coding RNA. RefSeq lists it as uncharacterized. The record is from RefSeq and is a predicted model, not a curated record. NCBI's taxonomy places the organism in Eukaryota, Metazoa, Chordata, Actinopteri, Cypriniformes, Cobitidae.
CAUUGCUGUAAUGUGCCAGGUGUACUUGCAAUAAUCAGAGAAAGUGCGCCAGAGUCAAAUCACACAGACAGCACAACUCCUGGCUGCAGCUGAAGGAGGACGAUUGAUUUCUGGCAGUUCGUCUUACCAUUGCUUGUAAGCUGGAUUGGGUAAGAUGGAUCAUCUUUAAAGGCACCAGGAGUUAAGGCAGAUGUGGAGGCACAACGGGUGAUACCAGACACACACCAAGCACAUUAUGUUCGGACAUUCAAUCAUGACAGGAUCCAGGUGGAUGCUGUCCAUUGAGAAAAGAGUUUGUUCAGCGGUUUCUGGAUAGAAUUAAUUCCAAAGAUGGGAAAAAGUGCACAUCCAGACAAGGAGCAAGCAAAAAGACAAGGAACUUGGUGCAGAGAAAAGCUGUGGCCAUUAACCCCCAUGUGAACAGCUUCAUGCAGUCCCUGAUUGAGUUCGAAUGGACGACUUCAAAGUAAAGGCCACUGUGGUCUGUCUGCCACAGUUUAAUGCAUUUAUUUUUAG